This 505-nucleotide ribosomal RNA is filed under the name uncultured bacterium. Its description in RNAcentral is "partial 16S ribosomal RNA". It matches the Rfam family "Bacterial small subunit ribosomal RNA", at positions 28 to 507 of the family's 1533-position model. The record is from RNAcentral.
GACGAACGCUGGCGGCGUGCCUAAUACAUGCAAGUAGAACGCACAGUUUAUACCGUAGCUUGCUACACCAUAGACUGUGAGUUGCGAACGGGUGAGUAACGCGUAGGUAACCUGCCUGGUAGCGGGUGAUAACUAUUGGAAACGAUAGCUAAUACCGCAUAAUAUUGAUUAUUGCAUGAUAAUUGAUUGAAAGAUGCUAUUGCAUCACUACCAGAUGGACCUGCGUUGUAUUAGCUAGUAGGUGAGGUAACGGCUCACCUAGGCGACGAUACAUAGCCGACCUGAGAGGGUGAUCGGCCACACUGGGACUGAGACACGGCCCAGACUCCUACGGGAGGCAGCAGUAGGGAAUCUUCGGCAAGGGACGAAAGUCUGACCGAGCAACGCCGCGUGAGUGAAGAAGGUUUUCGGAUCGUAAAGCUCUGUUGUAAGAGAAGAACGGGUGUGAGAGUGGAAAGUUCACACUGUGACGGUAUCUUACCAGAAAGGGACGGCUAACUACGUG